CCAACUCUGAUUUUUAAUCAUCAGUUCAUGUUUUUUGUGCCAGCAUUGUUACUAAAGCCACGUGCUACUAAAGCGAAGUUGCAAUUUAGAAAAAUCAUACACACCAACAAAUACAGUGAUCAUGCAGAUUACAAGACUUACGAAUAGAUUACCUUUUGGAUCUGGUCAAUAUACUCGUUAGUAGUUCUUGAAAUAGAUUGUGGUUUCUCCCCUUGAAAUGAAGGCCUAGGUUUUUGAAAAUGACCCAAAUUCUUUUAUUCACAACGAGAAAGCCCUAAUCAUCACCAAAAGAUCACAAGUUCACUAUUGAAAUCUAUAAGUCAACAUAGACAAUUCUUUGGUCAAAUUGAAUAUUUCUAUUUUAAAUAGAUUAGAAAGUUUUUUAUCCAAUUUCGCAAAGAGCUAAACGCAAAGCCUCAAACCCUAAUAGGCACUUCAAGGUGAAAAAAUUGUUUAAGCCUAAAUGACACGCUAUAAACCUAAAGCCAUAGUAAUACAAAUUAUACAGACUACAAUUACAAUAUAUUCAAGGCUUUCAAUUUCAAGUAUCACGUGAAUUUCACAAAAAGCAUACAAGUACAUCAAAAAUAGGGUUCACAGUCCUCACUUGCAUACCACACCCGCACUAGAUUUACUUUUUCAUCAAAGGGUUGAAAAGUAGAAUUUUCAUAAGUAGGAAACAGUUUUGAAUUAAACAUAGAACAAUUGUAUAAUUUAAAACUACAGACUCGUCCAAAAAUUUGAGUUGUUAAAAAAGGGAGAAAUAUAGUUAUUCAUAUUAUAUCUUCAAAAUGAACCUUAAAUAUUUCAGAGUUCGAAGCAUAACAAUUUCCUCUUCAAGUACACAAACCUCCUCUGGUGGUAGAAUUUUCUUUUCACGUGUUAUAUGUAGUAUGCAAUGUGUAGAAGAAAUUAGUUGCCACCAAUUAAAAUCAAUGAAGAAAUAGUAUACUAUGCAGCAUUAGAAGUCUCAGGUAUCCUAUUACCUUUGAAGGCAAAUGAUAUGACAAACCAGAAAAUGCAAAGGACAUGAAUUCUUAGUUUCAGAAAAACAACUCAAAAAGAUCACAAAAUUUGAAUUUAUCAUUUCAAUCUCUCUAGUAAACAUAAUUUCACUGUUCUCUCUCUUUCACUCUACAUAAAGAAAGUAAUUGUGUUUUGAGAAUAUACCUGUUCUAGUAUUAAAUGGACUCUCCGCCUUGAUUUGGUUGAUGAGGCAAAUACCCAUCCAAGUGCCAAAAAUCCCUCAAGAGACUCGAUUUCUUGGCCUAUGAAAACAGGUUUCAAUUCCAAAACCGACCUCUAGACUUUGUUUUUUUCUUUUCGUUCCUUUUUCCUUGAUGCAAGGACAAAGUGAAAAUAAUUUGCUUAACUUCGGGUACCUAAAAGUGAAAUUAGCUGAAAAAGCCUCGUAGUUCCAAAUCUAAUGUGAAUCCUCUAAAUUUUCUUGAUCUCUGUUUAUGUUAGGUAUUACUUAUCAGUCAGCGUUCACAUACAUAUUCAAAAAGUUCAUAAUUUUGCUAUUAGUAAAAAAUUAAAUUGGCCAAAAAAAUAAUAAUUACAAAUUGGAAGUUUGGAAUCAAGAACUACCUCUGGCUGUUACAGCAUUCUCCGAACCAAGAAUCAUAGAAACUUCCAUUUUCCACUGCAAUUUGAGCCUUAAUACACUUCUCUCUCUAAAUGGUUCAACCAACCCGAAUUUCUAUGAUUGCCAAAAUAUGCCUAGCCUUCGCUCUCUAUGUGAGUGUGCGCGGGCGAGAGACAGACUCGAGGCUUUAGCGAACUGCGAAGCUAAGUAGCCAACUAACCAAGCGAGAAAAUAUGGGAUUCUAGAAUACUGGAACUGAAAGUCUGGAACUUUGGAGUCUGGAAGCGGAAGUAGGAGAAGUCGAGCUAGAAAGACGGUCAGACGGAAGCGACGAAGCGUUUGGGAAAAAUGGAUUUCAAUUUGGGAAUUUUGGGGAAAAUGGAUAAUGGAUCAGGAUACGGGCUUGAGCUUGAG
This 2002-nucleotide long non-coding RNA is filed under the name Olea europaea subsp. europaea. The record is from RNAcentral. Lineage: Eukaryota; Viridiplantae; Streptophyta; Magnoliopsida; Lamiales; Oleaceae.